CAAUGCUUUGCUCUCACAUCAGUGCCUGACAAUGUCUUCAUCUAUGCAAACCUUUGGUUUUUUCUUUAUGUGUUUUUCAUGUCAGGUGAGCGCUGUUACAUUUCAACAAUCUCCUCCCAAGAUAGUGACGGAGAAAGUUGAGGUCCAGAUUAACUGCCGUCACGAUGAUAAUAGCCUUCUGUUGAUGCUCUGGUAUCAGCAAAGAAAGGACAGUCUGUCUAUGACGCUCAUUGGGCAUGUAUAUGGAAAAAGUCCCCCAAACUAUGAAGGUCUGUUUGAAGAACAAUUCAAUCUGACAAGAGAAGACACAACCAGAGGAACGCUGAUUAUUCACACAGCAAAUCUGUCACACUCUGCUGUUUAUUUCUGUGCCGCUAGAGCACACAGUGAUGUGGUUUAAUGCCACUCCCUCACUAAAAACCCUUUCCUUUUCCGUGUAAAUGAUGAGAUACGUGCAUUUGCACAAGUGCGGAGUGUCUCUUAACACAUCACUGGAGGGAGCGGUGUCCCCCCUGCAACAGCACAAACUUGAAAAUGUCUCCAGCUGUGUACGGAUUUAUUCUCAUCUUGCUUUUAUAUCGAGCCACGAGUUUGACGUUUGAGCCAUCUCAACCAAGAAUAAUCAAAGAAAACACCAGGGUAGAAAUUAAAUGCAGUCAUGAUGAUAGCAACCUCUAUGUAAUGCUCUGGUACCAGCAAACAGAGAGUAGUCUGAUGAAUUUAAUUGGAUACAGCUACAGCGGCAGUGACCCAGACUAUGAGAAGCAGUUUAAAGGCCGGUUUGAGAUUACAAGAAAAGACAUCCAAACAGGAUCUUUGAUCAUUGGCACGGUGAAUCUGUCAGACUCGGCUGUGUAUUUCUGCGCUGCCA
Micropterus salmoides (largemouth bass) is the source of this 871-nucleotide long non-coding RNA. RefSeq lists it as uncharacterized. The transcript is spliced from 3 exons. The record is from RefSeq and is a predicted model, not a curated record. NCBI's taxonomy places the organism in Eukaryota, Metazoa, Chordata, Actinopteri, Centrarchiformes, Centrarchidae.